GGAUUAGAAACCCGGGUAGUCCACGCCGUAAACUAUGAACGCUAGCCGUUGGUCAGCUUGCUGAUCAGUGGCGCAGCUAACGCAUUAAGCGUUCCGCCUGGGGAGUACGGCCGCAAGGUUGAAACUCAAAGAAAUUGACGGGGGCCCGCACAAGCGGUGGAGCAUGUGGUUUAAUUCGACGCAACGCGCAGAACCUUACCAGGGUUUGACAUCCUGAGACCGCUCCUGAAAGGGAGUUUUCCCGCAAGGGACUCAGAGACAGGUGCUGCAUGGCUGUCGUCAGCUCGUGUCGUGAGAUGUUGGGUUAAGUCCCGCAACGAGCGCAACCCUCGCCUUUAGUUGCCAUCAUUAAGUUGGGCACUCUAGAGGGACCGCCGGCGACAAGCCGGAGGAA
This 394-nucleotide ribosomal RNA is filed under the name uncultured bacterium. Its description in RNAcentral is "bacterial SSU rRNA". It matches the Rfam family "Bacterial small subunit ribosomal RNA", at positions 775 to 1171 of the family's 1533-position model. The record is from RNAcentral.